Molecule: ribosomal RNA, 502 nt
Filed under: uncultured bacterium
Lineage: Bacteria
Description: partial 16S ribosomal RNA
Rfam family: Bacterial small subunit ribosomal RNA
Source: RNAcentral
GACGAACGCUGGCGGCGUGCCUAAUACAUGCAAGUCGAACGAACCGCUCCUAAGUGCUUGCACUAGGGCAAGGUGAGUGGCGAACGGGGGAGUAACGCUUGGGUAACCUACCUCAUAGGGGGGGAUAACAGGCGGAAACGACUGCUAAUACCGCAUUGGACAUAAGGUCACAUGAUGCGGUGAGGAAAGUUGGCGCAAGCGAUCACGACGACAUGGACCCGCGUUGCAUUAGCUAGUUAGUGGGGGAAAGGCCUCCCCAGGAGAGGAUGCUGAGCCGACCUGAGAGGGUGAUUGGCCACAUUGGGAGUGAGACACGGCCCAAACUCCUACGGGAGGCAGCAGUAGGGACUCUUACGCAAUGGACGAAAGUCUGACGGAGCAACGCCGCGGGAGUGAAGAAGGUCUUCGGCUCGGAAAGCUCUGUUGGUAGUGAAGAACAGCGGCUAGAGUAACUGCGAUGCGAGUGACGGUACCGAACGAGAAAGCCCCGGCUAACUACGUG